Humulus lupulus (European hop) is the source of this 1468-nucleotide long non-coding RNA. RefSeq lists it as uncharacterized. NCBI's taxonomy places the organism in Eukaryota, Viridiplantae, Streptophyta, Magnoliopsida, Rosales, Cannabaceae. The transcript has 4 exons. The record is from RefSeq and is a predicted model, not a curated record.
UGUAUUGUUGGAACUGCUACAACCCAGAUGGGCUUAGCUCAGCAAAAUUCUAUUGAUUCACUCACACUAAUCAAAACAAACUCCUAGACAAUCUCUCACUGAUUCACUCUCACUAAUCAGUCAUCACAGACCGUGCCGUCCGCCGCCGUCGACCCGCGGAGAAUCAGUGCCGCCGAUGGUUCAUCCUCAAGCAAAGGGAAGCUCCUCUGGUUUGCUUCUAUGCUACUAGUUCUAGUUCAUCUCUUUGGAAACAUUCGAGUUGGAAAAUCUGUGGUCAGAUUUAGGGACUUUGGCACUCUGCUUACCACCUUUGAACCUUGUGUGACAUGAACGGGGUUUACAGAAGUCCAUGAUGGGGCGUAAACUCGCAAUAACUGCUCGUCGUUUCCAGUGGGUGCAUUGAUGUAAACGACCCUUUCAUUGGAAAUCUGUAAAUUGCCCAGAGCAUGCCUUGGCCGUUUGCAGCCCCCGCCUGCUGUUGGGGAUGUCGUCGGCUCUUCCCUAACGGCUGUCCCUCUCCUGAGUCAUCAGAUUCUGUCUCCUUUGUUGGCUCUACCAUUUCAAAGAUUGCAGGCACACUAGAGUUGGGUUCAUCAAUGAUGUGGCCUCCGAAGGCUGUGGCCGUUCUUUGAACUGCGCACGUGAUUAUGUUGUGAAACAUUCCAACUUUUCCUCGACUAAGACUGUACACGGCGUUCAUGGGAGUCUGAACUGAAACCGUGAUUCGUCCGAAGAAAAUAUCUGUUCUAAUAAAAGAAAUGAAGCGCAAAAUACUAAAAUGGAAUAAGGGAUUUUUUUUUUUAUAUUAUGGAUGCACAGAUAAGUUCCGAGUUAGGGUGGGAGGAGAAGACAGUAAAAUUCACGUGCUCAAGAGAGACAUGGACCAAGUUUUUAUCGAAAUUUGGGAUGAGGAAAAGAAAAAUAUUUGUGUAUGAUCACAAGUGGUGUUCUGAUUUUAUACCACUAUUACUUGCCGCUCACAGAGGAUAAGAGUAGUAGCGGACCAUCAGAGUCGGGGUCAGAGUUGGGGUCUAGUGGGCAAAGAAAGAAACGACAAUCAGAGUGAACUGUGGAGAAGAGAAGCUGAUGGAGACAGGUCCUCCUUUUGCAGUGCAAAUGAAGAUGUGCACAGACAAACUUGAAGACUCUCUUGGAAGGCAGACCUUCCUAUGUUUACCAGAUGACUAUCUUAAAGUGUUCGUUGAUUAGGGGCUAUCCACAUUAGUUGGGUGAGAGUUUAAGACCCCCAAAACUAAACCCACCAUUGUCUAUUUCCUAAACCAGUAAGUAUAAACUUUUUUGGAUAGUGGCAAACAGUGAAGUGUUUUUUAUUAGUCAAGACUUGUUUUGGUAAGGGAUGACUUUUAGGCUGGUGAUAAAGAAUGUUUUACAUUUCCAUAUGAACUUCCGAGUUCCAAGUUCCAGAUUGGCAAGGGAUUGCAUAAAAUCGAGAGAAAUAUUCAUGAGC